AUUGAACGCUGGCGGCAUGCUUUACACAUGCAAGUCGAACGGUAACAGGCCUUCGGGUGCUGACGAGUGGCGAACGGGGGAGGAAUGCAGCGGAACGUGCCCAGAGGUGGGGGAUAACGCAGCGAAAGCUGGGCUAAUACCGCAUGUGAUCUGAGGAUGAAAGCGGGGGACCACGCAGCAAUGUUUGGCCUCGCGCCUCUGGAGCGGCCGAUGUCAGAUUAGGUAGUUGGCGGGGUAAAGGCCUACCAAGCCGACGAUCCGUAGCUGGUCUGAGAGGACGACCAGCCACACUGGGACUGAGACACGGCCCAGACUCCUACGGGAGGCAGCAGUGGGGAAUUUUAGACAAUGGGCGCAAGCCUGAUCCAGCCAUGCCGCGUGCGUGAAGAAGGCCUUCGGGUUGUAAACCGCUUUUGUUCGGAACGAAAAGGCUCUGGCUAAUACCUGGGGCUGAUGACGGUACCGAAAGAAUAAGCACCGGCUAACUACGUG
RNAcentral lists this ribosomal RNA (492 nucleotides) under uncultured bacterium. Its description in RNAcentral is "partial 16S ribosomal RNA". It matches the Rfam family "Bacterial small subunit ribosomal RNA", at positions 29 to 507 of the family's 1533-position model. The record is from RNAcentral.